GUGGGGAAUUUUGGACAAUGGGCGAAAGCCUGAUCCAGCCAUGCCGCGUGCAGGAUGAAGGCCUUCGGGUUGUAAACUGCUUUUGUACGGAACGAAAAGACUCCUUCUAAUAAAGGGGGUCCAUGACGGUACCGUAAGAAUAAGCACCGGCUAACUACGUGCCAGCAGCCGCGGUAAUACGUAGGGUGCAAGCGUUAAUCGGAAUUACUGGGCGUAAAGCGUGCGCAGGCGGUUAUAUAAGACAGAUGUGAAAUCCCCGGGCUCAACCUGGGAACUGCAUUUGUGACUGUAUAGCUAGAGGACGGUAGAGGGGGAUGGAAUUCCGCGUGUAGCAGUGAAAUGCGUAGAUAUGCGGAGGAACACCGAUGGCGAAGGCAAUCCCCUGGACCUGUACUGACGCUCAUGCACGAAAGCGUGGGGAGCAAACAGGAUUAGAUACCCUUGUAGUCC
RNAcentral lists this ribosomal RNA (450 nucleotides) under uncultured bacterium. RNAcentral's name for it is "partial 16S ribosomal RNA". It matches the Rfam family "Bacterial small subunit ribosomal RNA", at positions 354 to 796 of the family's 1533-position model. The record is from RNAcentral.